This 245-nucleotide unclassified non-coding RNA is filed under the name Hevea brasiliensis (rubber tree). The record is from RNAcentral. Lineage: Eukaryota; Viridiplantae; Streptophyta; Magnoliopsida; Malpighiales; Euphorbiaceae.
GGAAAGUAAAUUUUCCUAGCUCCGCAGGAAGUUCACCUGUCAACCUGUUACUACUCAGAUUUAAACACCUCAGUGUUUCUCUUGAUGCAGUCGCAAUCGCUGAAUGAAUUUCCCCACCAAGUGCAUUUCCACCAAGCUGCAGCUUGGACAGCUUCUUGAGUGCAAACAAGGAGGUGGGAAUACCUCCUGAAAGAUUAUUCUCACACAGACUCAAAAUGGAUAGCUCCUCCAAGCUUCCAAACGCG